GUGAAUCAUCAAAUUUUUGAACGCAAAUUGCACUCCCUGGUAUUCCGGGGAGUAUGCCUGUUUGAGGGUCGUUAGAACCAUAAUCGCCGCGUCUCUCUUUUUUUUUUAGUGUGAUCGCGUCGGAAUUUCUCCGUCUUUUACCUGUUAUUUCAUGUCAAAGUUGCUUGUAAUUCUUCCAUCCGUUUCGAUUAUAGCGUAUUUAAGAUCCACUUUGAUUAAGAACGCGCGAUGAACGUACCAUCUCAUGUUGUACGUUUGACUUGAUGUCU
This 269-nucleotide unclassified non-coding RNA is filed under the name Glomeraceae sp. RNAcentral's name for it is "partial contains 5.8S ribosomal RNA and internal transcribed spacer 2". The stretch from base 1 to 71 matches the Rfam family "5.8S ribosomal RNA", at positions 84 to 154 of the family's 154-position model. The record is from RNAcentral. Lineage: Eukaryota; Fungi; Glomeromycota; Glomeromycetes; Glomerales; Glomeraceae.